AGCGACUAAGCGUACACGGUGGAUGCCCUGGCAGUCAGAGGCGAUGAAGGACGUGCUAAUCUGCGAUAAGCGUCGGUAAGGUGAUAUGAACCGUUAUAACCGGCGAUUUCCGAAUGGGGAAACCCAGUGUGUUUCGACACACUAUCAUUAACUGAAUCCAUAGGUUAAUGAGGCGAACCGGGGGAACUGAAACAUCUAAGUACCCCGAGGAAAAGAAAUCAACCGAGAUUCCCCCAGUAGCGGCGAGCGAACGGGGAGCAGCCCAGAGCCUGAAUCAGUGUGUGUGUUAGUGGAAGCGUCUGGAAAGGCGCGCGAUACAGGGUGACAGCCCCGUACACAAAAAUGCACAUGCUGUGAGCUCGAUGAGUAGGGCGGGACACGUGGUAUCCUGUCUGAAUAUGGGGGGACCAUCCUCCAAGGCUAAAUACUCCUGACUGACCGAUAGUGAACCAGUACCGUGAGGGAAAGGCGAAAAGAACCCCGGCGAGGGGAGUGAAAAAGAACCUGAAACCGUGUACGUACAAGCAGUGGGAGCACGCUUAGGCGUGUGACUGCGUACCUUUUGUAUAAUGGGUCAGCGACUUAUAUUCUGUAGCAAGGUUAACCGAAUAGGGGAGCCGAAGGGAAACCGAGUCUUAACUGGGCGUUAAGUUGCAGGGUAUAGACCCGAAACCCGGUGAUCUAGCCAUGGGCAGGUUGAAGGUUGGGUAACACUAACUGGAGGACCGAACCGACUAAUGUUGAAAAAUUAGCGGAUGACUUGUGGCUGGGGGUGAAAGGCCAAUCAAACCGGGAGAUAGCUGGUUCUCCCCGAAAGCUAUUUAGGUAGCGCCUCGUGAAUUCAUCUCCGGGGGUAGAGCACUGUUUCGGCAAGGGGGUCAUCCCGACUUACCAACCCGAUGCAAACUGCGAAUACCGGAGAAUGUUAUCACGGGAGACACACGGCGGGUGCUAACGUCCGUCGUGAAGAGGGAAACAACCCAGACCGCCAGCUAAGGUCCCAAAGUCAUGGUUAAGUGGGAAACGAUGUGGGAAGGCCCAGACAGCCAGGAUGUUGGCUUAGAAGCAGCCAUCAUUUAAAGAAAGCGUAAUAGCUCACUGGUCGAGUCGGCCUGCGCGGAAGAUGUAACGGGGCUAAACCAUGCACCGAAGCUGCGGCAGCGACGCUUAUGCGUUGUUGGGUAGGGGAGCGUUCUGUAAGCCUGCGAAGGUGUGCUGUGAGGCAUGCUGGAGGUAUCAGAAGUGCGAAUGCUGACAUAAGUAACGAUAAAGCGGGUGAAAAGCCCGCUCGCCGGAAGACCAAGGGUUCCUGUCCAACGUUAAUCGGGGCAGGGUGAGUCGACCCCUAAGGCGAGGCCGAAAGGCGUAGUCGAUGGGAAACAGGUUAAUAUUCCUGUACUUGGUGUUACUGCGAAGGGGGGACGGAGAAGGCUAUGUUGGCCGGGCGACGGUUGUCCCGGUUUAAGCGUGUAGGCUGGUUUUCCAGGCAAAUCCGGAAAAUCAAGGCUGAGGCGUGAUGACGAGGCACUACGGUGCUGAAGCAACAAAUGCCCUGCUUCCAGG
This 1563-nucleotide ribosomal RNA is filed under the name Enterococcus faecalis. RNAcentral describes it as "bacterial LSU rRNA". It matches the Rfam family "Bacterial large subunit ribosomal RNA", at positions 1 to 1612 of the family's 2925-position model. The record is from RNAcentral. Lineage: Bacteria; Bacillati; Bacillota; Bacilli; Lactobacillales; Enterococcaceae.